CCUCUUCUCCUCUCUCGCGAGUCGCGCCUCUUCCCUUCUCUCUGCAGAUCUGCCUCCAUCGCUGUUCACAGGAUUCAUCAAGAGAAUGUGGUAGGAUGGUAUCACUCUCAUCCUGGUUAUGGAUGUUGGCUUUCCGGUAUCGAUGUCACCACACAAAUGCUAAACCAGCAAUACCAAGAGCCCUUCCUUGCAGUUGUUAUUGAUCCGACAAGGACUAUAUCGGUGCUUUCAGGACGUAUCCAGAAGGGUAUAAACCCCCAGAUGAGCAGGUCUUUGAAUAGAAGACUUUGGUGUGCAAUGUAAACAGGUGAAAACGCAUUUGUGUCUGGACAAGGAUACAAGGAUACUUUUGCUUCUUUGAUGAUGGAAAAACAACAUAAAUUCUAGGCAAAAACAAGGAUACUUUUGCCUCAAAACAAGGAAGCUUUAUUUCUGUUAAUAAUUUGAACUACAUUUGAUGGGAAACAAAGCCUCUUACCUAGAGUGGAUGAUGAGAUUCAAACUAGAGUUACUCAACAAGGUGAUGAUCAUAAUGAGGGGGAAGAGACUCAACCAACUUUGCUGGGUGAUUAUCAUAAUGCGGAAGAGGCUCAACACUAGGAUCGAAUUAUAGUUGUUCAAAUUACUAGUGAGUAGACUAGAUUUAGGGAUAGUCUAGCCGAAGCUAUGUUUCUUCAUUAUCAAAAUAGGCGUAACUUUUAGUGUCGUGCUUAUGAAACUAAAUAUGUAAUAGAAUUGGUUUUGUGGUA
Molecule: non-coding RNA, 749 nt
Organism: Salvia hispanica
Lineage: Eukaryota; Viridiplantae; Streptophyta; Magnoliopsida; Lamiales; Lamiaceae
Source: RefSeq, a predicted model, not a curated record